GACGAACGCUGGCGGCGUGCUUAACACAUGCAAGUCGAACGGCAAGGCCCUGCUUUUGUGGGGUGCUCGAGUGGCGAACGGGUGAGUAACACGUGAGUAACCUGCCCUUGACUUUGGGAUAACUUCAGGAAACUGGGGCUAAUACCGGAUAGGAGCUCCUGCUGCAUGGUGGGGGUUGGAAAGUUUCGGCGGUUGGGGAUGGACUCGCGGCUUAUCAGCUUGUUGGUGGGGUAGUGGCUUACCAAGGCUUUGACGGGUAGCCGGCCUGAGAGGGUGACCGGCCACAUUGGGACUGAGAGACGGCCCAGACUCCUACGGGAGGCAGCAGUGGGGAAUAUUGCACAAUGGGCGGAAGCCUGAUGCAGCAACGCCGCGUGCGGGAUGACGGCCUUCGGGUUGUAAACCUCUUUCGCCUGUGACGAAGCGUGAGUGACGGUAAUGGGUAAAGAAGCACCGGCUAACUACGUG
RNAcentral lists this ribosomal RNA (468 nucleotides) under uncultured bacterium. Its description in RNAcentral is "partial 16S ribosomal RNA". It matches the Rfam family "Bacterial small subunit ribosomal RNA", at positions 28 to 507 of the family's 1533-position model. The record is from RNAcentral.